AGUGAACGCUGGCGGUAUGCCUAACACAUGCAAGUCGAACGGCAGCACAGUAAGCGCUUGCUCUUACGGUUGGCGAGUGGCGGACGGGUGAGGAAUACAUCGCAAUCUACUUUUUCUGGGGUGAUUACGUAGGGCAACUUACGCUAAUACCGCAUACGUCCUACGGGUGAAAUCAGAGGUUCUUCAGACCUUUCGCGAUUCAAUUAGCCGAUGUCGGAUUAGCUAGUUGGCUUGGUAAAGGCCCACCAAGGCGACGAUCCGUUGCUGGUCUGAGAGGAUGAUCAGCCACACUGGAACUGAGACACGGUCCAGACUCCUACGGGAGGCAGCAGUGGGGAAUCUUGGGCAAUGGGCGAAAGCCUGACGCAGCAACGCCGCGUGGGUGAAGAAGGCCUUCGGGUUGUAAAGCCCUUUUGUUGGGAAAGAACAUCAGCAGGUUUAUACGCCGACGUCUUGACGGUACCCAAACAAUAAGCCCCGGCUAACUUCGUG
This 492-nucleotide ribosomal RNA is filed under the name uncultured bacterium. RNAcentral describes it as "partial 16S ribosomal RNA". It matches the Rfam family "Bacterial small subunit ribosomal RNA", at positions 29 to 507 of the family's 1533-position model. The record is from RNAcentral.